UUACUGAAAGAUUGGGCCCACAUGUUUUGAUUGCAGCCGUGACCUAUUUCCUCAAGGAAUCUUGAGCAGUCUUUGAAAAAAAAAGCACUCAACAUCAUAAACAAAAUGAUUGUGAGCUUCGGGUGCAGUGGGCGGCGGACGUGCAGGCUCUCCCUCUCAGUCUGGAGGCUAAUUUGAUUGCAACAAACAAGAGAGAGAGCAAAGUCUCCAAGGAGCCGAAUGAUCCACUGGUUAAUAGGACGAGAGCAGUGACCACCCAUGCAGUCAAAUCCAAGAUCUCAAUAAUAUUUGGUCGUAGGCGAUUGAAUGUCUUCGUCAGGUUUUUCAUUUGACUUCUACAAGCAGCCCAUGUGCCCAAUCUCCUGACCAGCCCUGAAGAUGCUGCCUCAGGAUGGGAGUAUGGAUCAAUGGCGAGCUGAGGAGAAUCUUUGACCGUGACCUCUACACUGUGAAUAUGCUGCCUGACUUGAGUUUCAUGUGUUUAGAAAGCUUGGGUCUAAAGUCAAAUUGGCACCAUCAGAACCCAGACCGUGCCAGAUUUCAGAUUCUGCCACAUUUUUGGACUGCCAGCAGGUGGAACAGAUUCUGUUCCAUUCAAGGAAGUCUGAUUGUCAUCAGUUGAAAAUUAUAGGACUCUCUCUCUGCUGCAUGAUGAAUGCUAGCCUACACCCCUCUUGCUGUGAUUGUAGGGGUUCCUGGCAUCGUGAUUUAAUGAUUAAAUAAAAGUGAAAAAUCACAUUGCCAGGGAUUACCACACAGUUGCAGGCACAUUCCAGCUCACUCACUAACUUCCAUUAAUCAUCAUCAUGCUGGGCGUGUUUCAGGAAUAGCAAAAUGUCCCAAAGUCCUUCAGGGAAGUGUCACCAAACAAAAUUUGAAUUUGAGAUAUCAUUUGUCGCAUAUAAUAGGCCUCAGGUAAAGAUGACUUUUUUUCAUUCGUUCACAGGAUGAGGGCAUCACUGGUCAGGCCAGCAUUUAUUGCCCAUCCCUAAUUGCCCAGAGGGCAAUUAUGAGUCAACCACAUUGCUGUGGGUCUGGAGUCACAUGUAGGCCAGACCAGGCAAGGAUUCUUUCCCUAAAGGACAUUAGUGAACCAGAGCUGGGUUUUUCCCAACAACCAGCAAAUUCCACCAGCUGCUGUGCAGUAUUCAAACCCAGAUCCCCAGAAUAUUACUUGGAUCUCUGGAUUAAAAUCCAGCGAUAAUGCCACUAGGCCAUUGCCUCCAUAUUUUAGGGAAGGAGAGUUGCUAAGCUUGUGAGAGAGAGAGAGAUAAAGCAAUGGAAAGGUUUUUGGAGGGGGAAAGGGUUAGAUCCCUACAGUAUGGAAACAGGCCUGUUGGCCUGUGUUACUGAGAACUCUGACAACAAGGAUAUUACACUUGAAGAGUAAUGCCUUCCCGUUAUAUAAGUCACAGGAGCUGAGAUCAUUAGCUUCUUGUUGUUGUCAUCCAACACCCAGCAGGGACCAAGCAUUAUUUUUACUUUUUGUUUGAAAGAUAUAGACAAAUCCACUUCUGUAACCAAGUGAAAGUCAGGUCAAUAUUUCUGAAAGGAGAUCAAGUCACCCCACAGCUCAUCUUCAUUCUGGUUUUGUGAAAAGUUAACAACUUUCAGAUUUAGUUUUCUAAUUUCAAAUAUACUUUAUUCAUAAAUCAUCUGUUAGUACAUA
Long non-coding RNA from Rhincodon typus (whale shark), 1669 nucleotides. RefSeq lists it as uncharacterized. The record is from RefSeq and is a predicted model, not a curated record. The transcript has 5 exons. Lineage: Eukaryota; Metazoa; Chordata; Chondrichthyes; Orectolobiformes; Rhincodontidae.